This 597-nucleotide long non-coding RNA is filed under the name Nicotiana tabacum (common tobacco). Its description in RNAcentral is "long non-coding RNA (NTAB_LNC015173)". Lineage: Eukaryota; Viridiplantae; Streptophyta; Magnoliopsida; Solanales; Solanaceae. The record is from RNAcentral.
CCGCACUCGCCAUGGAGUGAGUGUCACGCUCAAUAUAGCGUUACGAUGUGAAAGUCCGAGGUUUCAAACCCUCAGAACAUCAUUUACAUCUAUUACUCACCUCUAACCGGUCGUAGACUAGUCCGCAAUGCCCUUUCCUCUUGAAUCGACCUCUUCGCGAGUCGAAUCUAGUCAAAACCACAACAAAUACGUUACAAUAGGCUAAGGGAAUAUAACCCAAUCGAAAAGACUCGAAAAAUGUCGAAAAUCCCGAAAUUAGCAAAACCCGAGCCCCGGACCCACGUCUCAAAAUUCAGAAAUUUUUACAUCAAUACGACCCUUAUCUCGCCACGAGUCUAUACAUACCAAAUUCACAAAAAAUCGGAGUUCAUUUGACCCCUCAAAUCACCAUUUAAUUCUCUUAAGUUUCAAGCCCUAAACCACCAUUUUUGUCCAUAAUUUACUUGAGUUUUCAGCUUUAAUCCAUGUAUUUAACUUGGAAAUAAGUAGAAACAACUCACCUUUGAUGCUUGAUGAAAUUCCCCUUGAAAUUCUCUCCAAAAUAAUCCAAGCCAAAUGAAAGAAAUGAAAGAAAUAAGCCAAAUCCGUGUUUAAAAG